UUCUUUGUCAUCAUAGUAAUCAUCAUCAUAACUAUAGAAUUUUAGUGAAUUUUGAUUUUUUUUUUUGUCCCUUUGGUUAUAGGAGUCUAGAUAUUCUUAUUAAGAUUUCUGAGAAAAAAUAUUUAGGUUACAAAUGUGAAUCAUUAAGAUUUCUUUCUUUUCCUUUUUUUAGUAGGAUUAAUUUGAAAAAAAAUUGUGUUUGCUUUGAUGUGGA
This 214-nucleotide long non-coding RNA is filed under the name Musa acuminata (dwarf banana). RNAcentral's name for it is "long non-coding RNA (MACU_LNC009815)". The record is from RNAcentral. Lineage: Eukaryota; Viridiplantae; Streptophyta; Magnoliopsida; Zingiberales; Musaceae.